UACCAGCUCUCCGAGUGGUAGGGAUGAUUAUUGGGCUUAAAGCGUCCGUAGCCGGCUUAGCAAGUCUCCUGUUAAAUUCAGCGACCUAAUCGUUGAGCCGCGGGAGACACUACUAGGCUAGGAGGCGGGAGAGGCCGACGGUAUUCUCGGGGUAGGGGUGAAAUCCUAUAAUCCCGGGAGGACCACCAGUGGCGAAGGCUGUCGGCUAGAACGCGCUCGACGGUGAGGGACGAAAGCUGGGGGAGCGAACCGGAUUAGAUACCCGGGUAGUCCCAGCUGUAAACGAUGCGGGCUAGGUGUUGGGGUGGCUACGAGCCACUUCAGUGCCGCAGGGAAGCCAUUAAGCCCGCCGCCUGGGGAGUACGGCCGCAAGGCUGAAACUUAAAGGAAUUGGCGGGGGAGCACCACAAGGCGUGAAGCUUGCGGUUC
RNAcentral lists this ribosomal RNA (429 nucleotides) under uncultured archaeon. Its description in RNAcentral is "bacterial SSU rRNA". It matches the Rfam family "Archaeal small subunit ribosomal RNA", at positions 474 to 903 of the family's 1478-position model. The record is from RNAcentral.